UACAGAGGGUGCGAGCGUUAACCGGAAUUACUGGGCGUAAAGCGUGCGUAGACGGUUAUUUAAGUCGGAUGUGAAAGCCCCGGGCUCAACCUGGGAAUUGCAUUCGAGACUGAAUAGCUAGGGUACGGUAGAGGGAAGUGGAAUUUCCGGUGUAGCGGUGAAAUGCGUAGAUAUCGGAAGGAACAUCAGUGGCGAAAGCGACUUCCUGGACCAGUACCGACGUUCAGGCACGAAAGCGUGGGGAGCAAACAGG
Molecule: ribosomal RNA, 253 nt
Filed under: uncultured bacterium
Lineage: Bacteria
Description: partial 16S ribosomal RNA
Rfam family: Bacterial small subunit ribosomal RNA
Source: RNAcentral